This 468-nucleotide ribosomal RNA is filed under the name uncultured bacterium. Its description in RNAcentral is "partial 16S ribosomal RNA". It matches the Rfam family "Bacterial small subunit ribosomal RNA", at positions 28 to 507 of the family's 1533-position model. The record is from RNAcentral.
GACGAACGCUGGCGGCGUGCUUAACACAUGCAAGUCGAACGGAAAGGCCCUGCUUUUGUGGGGUGCUCGAGUGGCGAACGGAUGAGUAACACGUGAGUAACCUGCCCUUGACUUUGGGAUAACUUCAGGAAACUGGGGCUAAUACCGGAUAGGAGCUCCUGCUGCAUGGUGGGGGUUGGAAAGUUUCGGCGGUUGGGGAUGGACUCGCGGCUUAUCAGCUUGUUGGUGGGGUAGUGGCUUACCAAGGCUUUGACGGGUAGCCGGCCUGAGAGGGUGACCGGCCACAUUGGGACUGAGAUACGGCCCAGACUCCUACGGGAGGCAGCAGUGGGGAAUAUUGCACAAUGGGCGGAAGCCUGAUGCAGCAACGCCGCGUGCGGGAUGACGGCCUUCGGGUUGUAAACCGCUUUCGCCUGUGACGAAGCGUGAGUGACGGUAAUGGGUAAAGAAGCACUGGCUAACUACGUG